CCAGCUCUCUUUGCCAUUCUUUGGCUUAGAUCAAGUGUAGUAUCUGUUCUUUUCAGGUUAAUCUCUGAAACACCUCUACGGAGGCAUUCUGGAUUGCCCUACUUUUUGAACCCCGGGCGACGGCCGCUGAGCUUGCUCAUGUCGCUGCCCACGGUGUCGCCUGUGCUGCACUGCUGCAGGCUGACGCGAAACUUU
Molecule: small nuclear RNA, 195 nt
Filed under: Macrophomina phaseolina MS6
Lineage: Eukaryota; Fungi; Ascomycota; Dothideomycetes; Botryosphaeriales; Botryosphaeriaceae
Description: U2 spliceosomal RNA
Rfam family: U2 spliceosomal RNA
About the family: U2 is a small nuclear RNA (snRNA) component of the spliceosome (involved in pre-mRNA splicing). Complementary binding between U2 snRNA (in an area lying towards the 5' end but 3' to hairpin I) and the branchpoint sequence (BPS) of the intron results the bulging out of an unpaired adenosine, on the BPS, which initiates a nucleophilic attack at the intronic 5' splice site, thus starting the first of two transesterification reactions that mediate splicing.
Source: Rfam by way of RNAcentral